UACAGAGGGGGCAAGCGUUAUUCGGAAUUAUUGGGCGUAAAGGGCGCGUAGGCGGCCUGGCAAGUGGAAGGUGAAAUCCCUCGGCUUAACCGGGGAACUGCGUCUGAUACUGGAUGGCUUGAGUUCGGGAGAGGGAUGCGGAAUUCCAGGUGUAGCGGUGAAAUGCGUAGAUAUCUGGAGGAACACCGGUGGCGAAGGCGGCAUCCUGGACCGAUACUGACGCUGAGGAGCGAAAGCCAGGGGAGCAAACGGG
This 253-nucleotide ribosomal RNA is filed under the name uncultured bacterium. RNAcentral's name for it is "partial 16S ribosomal RNA". It matches the Rfam family "Bacterial small subunit ribosomal RNA", at positions 524 to 776 of the family's 1533-position model. The record is from RNAcentral.